GAUGAACGCUGGCGGCGUGCCUAAUACAUGCCAGUCGAGCGAACAGACGAGGAGCUUGCUCCUCUGACGUUAGCGGCGGACGGGUGAGUAACACGUGGAUAACCUACCUAUAAGACUGGGAUAACUUCGGGAAACCGUAGCUAAUACCGGAUAAUAUAUUGAACCGCAUGGUUCAAUAGUGAAAGACGGUUUUGCUGUCACUUAUAGAUGGAUCCGCGCCGCAUUAGCUAGUUGGUAAGGUAACGGCUUACCAAGGCAACGAUGCGUAGCCGACCUGAGAGGGUGAUCGGCCACACUGGAACUGAGACACGGUCCAGACUCCUACGGGAGGCAGCAGUAGGGAAUCUUCUGCAAUGAGCGAAAGCCUGACGGAGCAACGCCGCGUGAGUGAUGAAGGUCUUCGGAUCGUAAAACUCUGUUAUUAGGGAAGAACAAAUGUGUAAGUAACUAUGCACGUCUUGACGGUACCUAAUCAGAAAGCCACGGCUAACUACGUG
RNAcentral lists this ribosomal RNA (497 nucleotides) under uncultured bacterium. RNAcentral's name for it is "partial 16S ribosomal RNA". It matches the Rfam family "Bacterial small subunit ribosomal RNA", at positions 28 to 507 of the family's 1533-position model. The record is from RNAcentral.